This 301-nucleotide ribosomal RNA is filed under the name uncultured bacterium. RNAcentral describes it as "partial 16S ribosomal RNA". It matches the Rfam family "Bacterial small subunit ribosomal RNA", at positions 509 to 808 of the family's 1533-position model. The record is from RNAcentral.
CAGUGCCACGGUAAUACGUAGGGUGCGAGCGUUAAUCGGAAUUACUGGGCGUAAAGCGUGCGCAGGCGGUUGUGUAAGACAGGUGUGAAAUCCCCGGGCUUAACCUGGGAACUGCGCUUGUGACUGCACAGCUAGAGUAUGGCAGAGGGGGGUGGAAUUCCACGUGUAGCAGUGAAAUGCGUAGAGAUGCGGAGGAACACCGAUGGCGAAGGCAGCCCCCUGGGCCAAUACUGACGCUCAUGCACGAAAGCGUGGGGAGCAAACAGGAUUAGAUACCCCUGUAGUCCCUGUCUCUUAUACA